UCCGGUUUGGCACCGGCAUUCCCCCUAGAGUCCCCGGCAUUAUCCGCUGGUAACUAAGGGCAAGGGUUGCGCUCGUUGCGGGACUUAACCCAACAUCUCACGACACGAGCUGACGGCAGCCAUGCAGCACCUGUGCACGAUCUCCGAAGAGGGGCUCUCGUUUCUGAGAGCUUGCUCGUACAUGUCAAGCCUAGGUAAGGUUCUUCGCGUUGCGUCGAAUUAAACCACAUGCUCCACCGCUUGUGCGGGCCCCCGUCAAUUCCUUUGAGUUUCAGCCUUGCGGCCGUACUCCCCAGGCGGAUGACUUCACGCGUUAGCUGCGUUACUAAAGGAUUUAACUCCUCCAACAACUAGUCAUCAUCGUUUAGGGCGUGGACUAC
Molecule: unclassified non-coding RNA, 380 nt
Filed under: uncultured bacterium
Lineage: Bacteria
Description: contains 16S-23S intergenic spacer region
Source: RNAcentral